This 253-nucleotide ribosomal RNA is filed under the name uncultured bacterium. RNAcentral's name for it is "partial 16S ribosomal RNA". It matches the Rfam family "Bacterial small subunit ribosomal RNA", at positions 524 to 776 of the family's 1533-position model. The record is from RNAcentral.
UACGUAGGGGGCUAGCGUUGUUCGGAAUUACUGGGCGUAAAGGGCGCGUAGGCGGCCGUUUGCGUCGGAUGUGAAAGCCCGGGGCUCAACCCCGGAACGGCAUCCGAUACGGGACGGCUGGAGACCGGGAGAGGAGGGUGGAAUAGCCAGUGUAGAGGUGAAAUUCGUAGAUAUUGGCUGGAACACCGGUGGCGAAAGCGGCUCUCUGGCCCGGUUCUGACGCUGAGGCGCGAAAGCGUGGGGAGCAAACAGG